GAGAUUUUUUUUUUUUUUAAUUUUGAUUCUAGAGAAGUUGGAAACAAAGGGAAUAAAGGUGCAGGUGUGAGUGCAGGUGAAUGCCAUUUUGGCUACUUUGAUGAUGAUGAUGGUGGUGGUGGUGAUGUAUAUGAUCAGGAUAAUAUAUAUAUAUAUAUUUCACAAUCCACAAAAUUUUCUGCUUAUGUACGGCCCUUUUCUUGCUUCUUGCUGAGCUUAGAUGCUGAUUUUGAUUUAUAGAUGAGAUGGGUUUUCCAAGACUAUAUGCCUUUUAUGUGCUACUUCAAGGGAGAGGCUAAUUAUCCCUAUGGGAUUAGCCGAUUGGGAGUAAUCUUUGAGCUUUUUAUCUAUCAAUCGAUGUUUUUUCUUUAUUAGUUUCUUUUAAGCAGAGAUCCAUGAGUAUACUAUAUCUGCAACGCACUUCUUUGGCUCUUUAUAGUUUAUGCAGAUCUCCACCACACAGCUAGGGUUUUCUCAAGGUAACUGAAAAUUAACCUCCUUUCUAAUCUCUAUCUCUCUCUCCCUCUCUC
RNAcentral lists this unclassified non-coding RNA (530 nucleotides) under Hevea brasiliensis (rubber tree). Lineage: Eukaryota; Viridiplantae; Streptophyta; Magnoliopsida; Malpighiales; Euphorbiaceae. The record is from RNAcentral.